This 253-nucleotide ribosomal RNA is filed under the name uncultured bacterium. RNAcentral's name for it is "partial 16S ribosomal RNA". It matches the Rfam family "Bacterial small subunit ribosomal RNA", at positions 524 to 776 of the family's 1533-position model. The record is from RNAcentral.
UACAUAGGGUGCGAGCGUUAAUCGGAAUUACUGGGCGUAAAGCGUGUGUAGGCGGUUUCGUAAGUCGGGUGUGAAAUCCCCGGGCUCAACCUGGGAAUUGCAUUCGAAACUGCGAGGCUAGGGUACGGAAGAGGGAAGCGGAAUUUCUGGUGUAGCGGUGAAAUGCGUAGAUAUCAGAAGGAACAUCAGUGGCGAAAGCGGCUUCCUGGUCCAGUACCGACGUUCAGGCACGAAAGCGUGGGGAGCAAACAGG